RNAcentral lists this ribosomal RNA (774 nucleotides) under uncultured Neocallimastigales. RNAcentral's name for it is "partial large subunit ribosomal RNA". It matches the Rfam family "Eukaryotic large subunit ribosomal RNA", at positions 23 to 644 of the family's 3401-position model. Lineage: Eukaryota; Fungi; Neocallimastigomycota; Neocallimastigomycetes; Neocallimastigales. The record is from RNAcentral.
AGAGAGAGACAUGCGCGCAUAUCAAUAAGCGGAGGAAAAGAAACUAACAAGGAUUCCCUUAGUAACGGCGAGUGAAGCGGGAAGAGCUCAAAUUUGAAAUCUUCAAGGUUUUACCUUGACGAAUUGUAGUUUAAAGAAGUGUUUUCUGUUGGUGUUUUGGUAAAAGUUCUUUGGAAUAGGACAUCAUAGAGGGUGAGAAUCCCGUAUUUGGUCAUUCCUCCUAGCGUUGUGAUACACUUUCAACGAGUCGGAUUGUUUGGGAAUGCAGUCCAAAAUGGGUGGUAAAUUUCAUCUAAAGCUAAAUAUUGGCGAGAGACCGAUAGCGAACAAGUACCGUGAGGGAAAGAUGAAAAGAACUUUGAAAAGAGAGUUAAACAGUACGUGAAAUUGUCAAAAGGGAAGCGUUUGACACCAGUGUUGUUUUUCCGAAAAUCAAUUACGAAUGUUUUGUUUUUGAGGAGUUAUGACUUCAUCGGCUUGCUCCUUUCUUUACGAAACUUUCUUAAUGCACUUUUCGGUUAACAAGUCAACAUCAAUUUCUUUUGUUGUAAAAGGGUAUGAGGAAGGUGGCUUUCUUUUCGGAGAAAGUGUUUAUAGCCUUGUACCUCUGCAAUCGGAGAGAUUGAGGUCUGCAGCGUAGAUCCUUCGGGGUUAGAUACAUUUGUGCUAAGUUAUAGCUUUUCAUAGACAACUUGUUGACUAUGUUUAGUCUUGUAGCUUACUCGCUUACGCUAUUUUACCUACGCUUAGGAUGUUGAUAGUCACAGCGUGUAC